Molecule: ribosomal RNA, 253 nt
Filed under: uncultured bacterium
Lineage: Bacteria
Description: partial 16S ribosomal RNA
Rfam family: Bacterial small subunit ribosomal RNA
Source: RNAcentral
UACGUAGGGACCAAGCGUUGUUCGGAUUUACUGGGCGUAAAGGGCGCGUAGGCGGCGUGUUAAGUCACUUGUGAAAUCUCUAAGCUUAACUUAGAACGGUCAUGUGAUACUGAUGUGCUAGAGUGCAGAAGGGGCAACCGGAAUUCUUGGUGUAGCGGUGAAAUGCGUAGAUAUCAAGAGGAACACCUGAGGUGAAGACGGGUUGCUGGGCUGACACUGACGCUGAGGCGCGAAAGCCAGGGGAGCGAACGGG